This 10555-nucleotide long non-coding RNA is filed under the name Populus trichocarpa (black cottonwood). RNAcentral describes it as "long non-coding RNA (PTRI_LNC003607)". The record is from RNAcentral. Lineage: Eukaryota; Viridiplantae; Streptophyta; Magnoliopsida; Malpighiales; Salicaceae.
AUUGCAGUGGCUGUUGUGUCAGUGAAGAAUCAAAGGUAUUUUUUAAAUGUGCGGUUUGCGAUUUCAAGCUGGGUAUGAAAUGUGCUACACUGCCAUACAAAGCAAGACACGAGUAUGAUGACCAUCCUCUCUUCCUCACCUAUAUUAAUGAAAAUGACUACCAACCUUCCUGUAUAAUUUGUGAAGAAGAUAGAGACCCAAAGCUCUGGUUCUACCGUUGUGAGGAAUGCGACUUCGAUGCUCAUCCAGAAUGUGCUCUCGGGAAAUACCCAUUUUUCAAGCCAGGGGGUGUUCUAACAUAUCCUAAACACCCUCACCCUCUUGCUUUGGUCAUCAAGACAGAGGAUUAUCGUCCGCAGGCAUGCGAUACUUGUGGUGAGCCUUGCGAUGACUUGGCCCUUGAAUGUACUGAUCCUAACUGCAGUUUUAUCGUCCACAGGAAAAGAAGGCAAUGCUCUAACUCAUUAUGGUAAUUGGAUGGCAGUUGUUGGCUUUUUUCUUAUUUUUGGGUUAUGAUUGUUGGCAGUUGCCAGACAGAGGAUUAUUAUCUCUGUUUCUAUUUUCGCGUAUGAGAUCACUUUUUUGUUUCUCUGUUUUGUUCUGAACAAUAAAAGAUGCUAUUUUAUUAAAACUGUCCUUGAAGGUAGUUUGUUGUUUCUUUGAGCCUUAGUAAGUGACAAAGAUGUCCAUAAAUUCUGCUUUUACAUUUUUGUUAUAGAUUUUAUUGUAAAUGCAUAAAAAUAUUGGCAUAUAAAAGAACACUUAUCUAACUGAUAUCAAUUAUUUUCAUUCAAAUAUUUAAUUUUUAUUUCCUUAACAUAAUCUAAUAUUAAAUAAAUAUAUAUUAAAUAAUAUUUAAAACGAACACCUCCGGGGCAUUCGAUAGCCUUUUCCUUUAAGAUAUAUAAUGAAAACGUUUAGAAACUGAUUGAUUUUUAAUUUAGACAAAAAGCUCUUUCUAGCUCAAACCCAAUUUAAUUAUUUUUCAGGCUAAUUAAUGGAUAGUCCAGAAAAAAUAAUUAAUGCUUUUUGAAACUUCUACUGCAUUUUUUUUUAGCGGCAAAAACAAAUUAUUGAGUAAAAUCACUAUAUUAAAAUCAUAAUAUAAUUUGUUGUUUCUUUGUGCCUUCGUAGUGACAGAGAUGUCUGACCAUUUUUCUUAGCUUAGCAGGAAGCUCUCCAUAAAUUCUGCUUUUACAUUUUUGAUAUAGAUUUUAUUGUAAAUGCAUAGAAAUACUGUCAUAUCAAUUAUUUUCAUUCAAAUAUAAAAUAACACUUAUCUAACUGAUAUCAAUUAUUUUCAUUCAAAUAUUUAAUUUUUAUUUCCUUAAACACAAUCUAAUAAUAAAUAAAUGUAUUUAAAUAAUAUUUAAAACGCAUACCUCAAAGGCAUUCGAUAGCUUUGUCCUUUAAUAAGAUAUAUCAUGAAAAAGUAAGUUAAUUCAUGUUUUUGGUAUUUUUUCUUUUAAGAAGAAUAAGAACAAGUAUCGAUCUUCUUUAUCUAAUUUCUAAACCACGAAAGAAUAAGAACAAGCCAUUUCGAUCGAUCAUUUGGUUUUCCAUUUGCUAAGACAUGAUAAUCCCCCGGGGAGGAGAUAAUUAUGCUGGAAUUGACUUUGAUGUUACAACAAAAAGCUUGGCCAACAUUUCAAGUAUUAAAAUAAAAAUAUAAAAAAUCACCUGAGUCAACUCGAGUUAACCUAUUAAGUUAUUUAUAAAUCAUGAAUCGUGAUAACCUAAUAAAAAAAACUGAAAAAAAUCAUGAUGUCCAACUCAAUAUUAAAAAAUUAAAUUGAAGAAAAAAAUCAGUUAAGAAAAUAAAAUUAAAAAAAAACUUGAAUCAAUAGGGUUAACCACCCAAACUUAUGAUUUGAAUUAUAAGGCUCGGACAACAUAAUAAAAAAUAAAUUCAAUGUCAAAAAUGAAAUUGCAAAAAAAAAAUAGAGAAGCAUUUAUUAAAAAAAUAAAAUGAAAAAAAGAAAGAAAAAAAAAGCACUAUGAAAAAAGAAAAAAAAAGGCACUAAAGUGCUUUGUUUAGAUGCCACAGGUACUUUGCCUUAAUUUUUUCGGAGUUGAUCAAUGGAUUAACCAAGAAAUAGAUUUUACUUCUAACAUUCUCUGAAGAAAAUCUUUGUUUAACUUUCUUAAUACAUUUUACUGUAAGAAACAAGGAGAAAGGAAAAAGAAAAAGGACAAACGAGAAAUUACUUGGUUGAGAUAACCAAGAAAUAGGUUUAUCAACGGAAGGACCUAAUUUUCUGUUCCAGAUAAACUUGAUGAAUCCGCUGUUUCGUAUUUUAAUUAGUGCUUGUUUGAAAGUGUAGUUGCAGUUUUUUUUAAAAGUGUUUUUUAUGCUGAAAUAUAUGAAAAUAAUAUUUUUUUUAUUUUUUAAAAAUUAUUUUUGAGAUCAGUGCAUUAAAACGAUCCAAAACAUACAAAAAAAUUAAUUUUUAAUAAAAAAAUUUGAAUUUUGGUAUAACAUGGUUUAUACCGCGUUCAUCCAAACCACGUAUAAAAUAACAUCAUGUAUAAAACAUUAAUUCAAAAUAAAAAAAAUAUUGUUUUAAAAACAUUUUUAAAACAACAAACAAAUUAUAAGUUCUGAGUUUGAAUUAAAAAUACUUCUAUUUGAUAUGGUCAUUUCAAAAUAUUUUUUUUUUAUUUUUACAAAAAAAUCAAUUUUGUUGUUAGAGAAAAACAAAAAUCAAGGGGUCAAAAUUAAAAGUUUGGUGAAGUAGUAGCCUUUUUAAGAAAACAUAAGUGUCACAGCCUUUUAAACUUAAAAUUUGGUCAAAUAUUAGUUUUGAUCCCUUCGGCUUGGAAAUUAUACUAUUUGGUUCAAAAUUUUAUUUUAUUUACAUUUAAGUCAAUAAAUUUAAAAGAAAAGGGUAAAAGUUGCUAGAUUACAACGAAUGAGAGAGAAUUAUUAUUAAUCACAUUCUAACAAUCAAAAAAAAUCAUUCUUGAUAUUAAUGAAUUCUAUUUCAAAAAAAGAAUUUCAUUAAUGUAUUUUUUGCCCAAUGAACUUUUUUUAAACCCAAACAAAUAUUGAGUUUUUAUUAAGUUAUUCAAUAAGAGUUGGUACAUAUAACAUUAUGUGCAAUUUGCUUAAAUAUUUUAGUUAAUUCAAAUGAAAUAUCAUAAUAUUAGUUAAUUAUGUAAUUGUUCACAUUUCAAGGUUAUUAAGAGUUAAACCGUUUGAUUUUAAAAAUUAAAAAAAAAGUGUUUUAAAAUUAAGUGUUUCCUUUUUUUUCUCCUUAAUGUUUUUUGGUUACUUAAUUUUUUUUUUCAAUUUGAUCUUUACAUAUUUAUUAAAUUUAGAAUUAAGCUUCAUGAUAUAUUUCAUGCUCUUUUCUUUCGAGUUUUCAUGGUCUUUUAAAACAUCAUGGCAUUGAGUUUGUUUUUAAUUUUACAAAGAAGAAUUCAAUUUGAUUGUUUACAAAGAAUUAAAAAUGAGAGGAUAAAAAUUGAAAAUUAGGUGAAAUGGUAGCUCUUUAGAUGAUAUUUUCACUUCUCAGUGCUUAAUUUCUUGUUUUUUUUAGUUCGGUCAUCGAGCUUUGUUUUUUUUCAAAUUUACCCUUUCACAUUGCAUUGAUUGAUGAUUUGGUUCGUAUUGCUUCUUUCAGUUUAUCAUAAUCUCCAAAAAACUACCACCACAUUAGGUUGGUUCUCUAUUUUACAAAAAACAAAAAAUCAAUUUUUUUGUUAGAGAAAAACAAAAAUUGAGGGGAUCAAAAUUAAAAGCUUGGUGAAAUGAUAACCUUUUUAAAAAACAAUGGGUGUUAAAGUCUUUUAGACUUAAAAUUUAGUUCAAUAUUAGUUUUGGUCCCUUCAGCUUGAAAUUAUACUAUUUGGUUCAAGAUUUUAUUUUAUUUACAUUCCAAUUCUUAAAUCUAAAAGAAGACAAUAAAAGUUAUUGUUAACCAUAAUUUAGCAACCGAAACAAGUUGUUCUUGAAGUUAAUGGGUUCUAUUUCAAGAUAAGAAUUCCUCAUCAGAUUUCAAGAUAAUGGGUUGUUUAGAGUAGGUUUGUUUUCAUGUUUUAAAAAUAUUUUAAAAAAAAUUUAAUUUUUUUUGUUUUAUAUUAAUUUUUUUGUGUUUUUAAAUCAUUUUAACGUGCUAAUGUCAAAAAAAAAAAUUAAAAAAAAAAUAUUAUUUCGAUAAAUUAUUUAAGUGAAAAACACUUUGAAAAACAAUUCCCACCACAAUACAAAAAAAAACUCUUAUUAGUUGAAACUAAAUUAUUGGUAGCGCUAAAUUUUAUCUAAAUUUCUUUUAACAUAAAAAAAAUAUUCAGAUGUUGUUAAUGAUUUUUUUCUAAUGAAAAAAAAAUUAAUGCAAGAGUUGAUUUGAUGUGACUUGGUAUAUUUGACAGGUCUAAAAACAAUCCAAAUGACCAGUAAAAACAUAAUUUAACUAAAAAAUUAAUAUAAUAUUUUUUUUAAUAUUAAAAAGAGAAGUUAUUGAAUCGACUUGAAUCAAUGUAGGUUAACAUAUCAAAUUCAUUACCUGAGUUAUGAGAGCAGUAGGAAGUUUGAAUAAGAAGUGCACCUAUUUGAUAGGUCACCUCAUUUGAUGAACAGUGGUCAUUUCAAUCACAAGUUUUGCCUACUCCUCGAGGCACGAACACAUAACCUCCAAAAACAAAUCACUAAUUAAUGUGUGAUACAUAAACAAAGAAAAAUAAAUUACUUGAUUUGCUGCUGUAAAGAUAUUAAACUUACAUACACCCAUAUUAUUUUAUAUUAAAUAAAUAAAAUUAAUAAAAUUUAAACUUUUGAUUAUUCAAGACUCUAGUAUUAUAUAAAAAAUUAUUUUAAUUCAGUAACUUAAAUUAUUAAUUAAAGAGGAAAUGAGAAAUUGGUCCGUGCCCACCAUUCCAGAAUACAAUAGACAUCCAGCUCACAUGAUUACUUUUACAUGGAUAAUCAGUCAAGACAUGACCCUGGGGCUCUCAUGAUUUCACGUGAACAACAACAUUUUCUCAUUGGCAAAGGUUUUCACAAUGAUGCUGACUUGAAGACGUGACAAAUGCCUUUUUUUUUUUUUUUUUAUCUGAGAUUUUAAAAUAUAAUUUAUAUUAUUUUUUAAUAAAUAUAAUUUAAGGUAUAAUUAUCAAACCUAUUCUAGCCGGUAAGUCGACUUAAAGUCUAGCCACCCAGGCUUGAUUUCUUUUUGAACCAAUAAAUCAACCUUUAACCUGGUUACUGUAUCAAACUUGAGUGAGAUUUAAUCAGGUUAUUUCCAAGGAAUUUUACAAAAAAUUAUCUCGAUGUUUUGUUUUCAAAAAACCACUAAAAUGAUAUCGUUUUGAAACUAACCACUCUGUUACUGGGGACUUUAUUCGGGUAUGAUAAAGUUCAACAAGAUUUCCUGCUUUAUAUAGUUAUUUGAGACUCUUUUGUGUGAGAAUCCAUGGAGUUUUCAUCUGUUCUUUACAUUUGUUUUGUAUCUGUUUCAUUAUCAGUAUCAUCAAAUAAUUUGUUGAGUCUGACAGAUAGAAAUUAUCCCAGUUCAUUCACAGGAUGAAGACUGGCGAAGAAUCAAGCGAGAAAAAUGAUAAGGGAGAUCAAGUUUGCGGGUUAGCAGCAAAUGUGAAAAAGAAUUUGGAAACCUUAGGUCCAAAUCCUUUAUCGGAAGAGUGUUGUAUCUAUAAAGUUCCAAAGCGACUGCAAGUGUUAAACGACAAGGCCUACACACCUCAAGUAGUCUCCAUUGGUCCAUUUUUAUGUAAUACUAUUUAACUUACUUGAUUUGCUGCUGUAAAGAUAUUAACUUAUCAGUAACCCUUCUUUUUUGUUCUAAGUUCUGUAUAUAUCACAUUUCUUGAUUUGUAGAGAACAAAAACAUAAUUAACCUCGACUUCAUUAAUAAUUAUAUAUCUAAUACAUUUUAUAAAUAACUACAAAAUUAUACAAAAAAAACUAGAAGUCAUAUGUUAAUCACUAUAUGGCUUGUGAGAGGAUUUGUUUUGGAUUGCAAAGUGUUUCUUUCUAUUUUUCAUUAAAUUUUUUUCAGUUACUUAUUUUUUUUCAAUUUAACUUUUACACAUUUAAUUAAUUUAAGUAAAAAACACUUUAAAAAACAAUUAAAAAAAAUUAUUCUUGAUGUUAAUAAGUACCAUUUCAAGAUAAAAAUUUUAUUACUGUAUGUUUUGCUCCUCAUCUUACUAGAAAAAGUAAAUUCUUUAGGGAUUUUUUUUUGAACCGGAACAAAUUUUGAAUUAUUUAAUCAAUUAAACAUUGUUUAGAGGUUAUGUUUACGAGGUGUUUAUAAGUGUUUUUAAGUGAAAGAAAUGAUUGAAAUGUUGUUUUGUGUUCAAAGAGAGGGGAGCAAUUUUCUAGUGACUUCCAGCCUCUAGAGUUUCUCGACGAUGAAACAAAUAGGUGGCGUGUUUUUAAUUUGUCACUACAAAAAACAUAUUGGAUUAAUUAGAAAAAAAAAAAAAUGUGUUGAUUGACGUGCUAGGCCUCCUGGAUCAGUGCUUAACCAUUUUUUGCCCUUUUAAGUCUAUUUAAUGUAGAAUUAGAUAACUAAAUAUAUAUAUAUAUAUAUAUAUAUAUAUAUAUAUAUAUAUAUAUUUAUUAAUUUAUUAAAUUAAUACAAAAUAUAUUAAAGGUGUUUUUUUUAAUUAACAUUAAAAUUUUAGUUUUAGUUUGAAUAAUGUUAUAGUUGUCUUUUUAAAAUUUUGACAACCAUUAUUUUUUAACAAACAAUUAUUAUUUUUAGUUUCUCCAACAUUUUUUUUUCGAAAUGCAUUCAAUGAUUACCUUAUGAUUUAUAAUACUAUAAAUUUGACUUGACAUGUUUUAAACAAUAAAUAGUUAAAUUUUUAUUUUUAUUAUAUAUAAUUGAUGCCAUUUUUAUUUUAAUUUAAUAAUUUGUGGGUAAUAAACAUGAAAAAUAUGAUAUGAAAUAACAUGAGAGGAUCAAUAUGAAUAUUUGAAUUAAGAUCCUAACUCCACUCAAGAUAGCUCCUCUAAGACUAAUAGUUUCUAAUACUAUUCUUCAUUUUCAUCUUUUGUUUUGUAUUCAUUGUUAAAUUAUUAUAUGGACAUGAUCCAUUUUCAUCUGAAUUUAAUGAACAUGAUGAAAUGUGAUAUAUAAGAGAAUGUGUUUUCAUUUUUUUUUUAUAUCUCUAAUUAUAUAAUUUAAUUCCAAGAUAAAUGAUCUUCUCUAACAUGUCCUGUCUAUGUUUUCCAUUCAAAUUAACAGAAAAGCCACACGACCUUCACAAAUGUAUUUUGAUAUAUAAAAAUAUCACUUACUCUAUAUAUAUAUGAUAAGUAGCUCAUUAUUUCUUAUAUCUCAAAGAUUGUUUCUAAUAAGUCUUUAUAAGUGUAAUUAUAUCAGUUAUAUCUUUAAUUUUUAGUUAAGUUAUUCAAUAAGAGGCUGUGCAAUUAUAUCAGUUAAAAAAAUAAGUGUAUUUUUAGAAAGUUACUUCUCAUUUCUUAUUUUCUUGAAAUAAAUUAGAUAAAAAUAAUUAAAAUAAAAGAGAUAAGAUAAAAUAUAAGACAAAGAAAAAGUUGUAUUUAAUAAUAAUAUAUAAGUUAGAGUAAUUGUCUUUAUACAAAUAAUAUAUGAAACCAUCCAAACUUAUUUGAAACAAUAAAUAAUUAAGUUAUUAUAUGAAUAUUAAUUGAUUUUAAAUAAUUAAGUUAUUUGAAACAAUAAUCAAUUAAAGGACAUGGGAGGAUGAGUAUGAAUUGAAUCCUAAUUAACUCCACUCUAAAACCAAUAGUUUCUAAUACUAUUUUUCAUUUCAAUCCUUUACCUUGUAUUUAUUGAUAAAUUAUUACAUGGACAUGAUCCAUUAACUAAGCAAUGGACCAAUCCAAUAGAAUAAAGACAUUUGUUUGCAUAAUUAAAACAACAAUAAUUCUAAGAACCUAUAAUUAAUCUGGAAAGAAAAUAGAAAGGAAACUCAUGAUCUUCCUCUACCUCUCUCUUUUCAUUAUAAAACCUAGAAAUCCAAAGGCAAUACUUUAUGUAAGGGAUGAUAAAGGAUGCUUAUGAGUCGGCUUUUCAAAAUGAAAUGGUAAUUUCUUCUACGAUUUUGCUUUAGAUAUAUUGAUUUACGAUUUUGAUAAUUAAAGUAUUUUACCAUACAAUUUUAAUGUUUAGAGGUGCUCUGAUGCACAAUAAUUAGAGUUAGUUUAUUUUUAUAUUUCGAACAGGCAAACGAGUAAUAUAGGAAGUUGAGGAAACCCAUCAAAAGUCAACGAGCCUUCUUCUCCAACAAGAAAAGACAGGGGAAAGUGUCUUCUUAUGCACAUACUUGAACAAUCUCACCCUCACAAAUAGAGGAGCCUGUAGCUUUCCUCGUGAUCUUCUACCCGCCUCUUCCUUACAGGUAACGCCCUUUCUUCCUUUUCGGGCUUCUUUGAAUUUUGGGCCCUUUGAGUUAUUUUUCGUUUCGGCUCUGUCCCAUAAUCUUUGAUAAAGGGGAAGAGGGAAGAGGUCAAAUUUCAGUUCAGAAGGUGAGGUAUUGAAUAAUGAAUACUAGCAGCACUCAACUUUUAUUUGCCUUUCCAUUUCGAUAACAUAUAUAUUCGGCAGCUUCAAUUUGGCCUGCCUAAGUCUUGUCUUGGCUCAACACCCCUCAUUUCCUGCUCUGUCCUCUAAGAGAGCCAGAGACAUGGAGAUUGAACAUUUUAGCCACCCAGAUCAUCCAUUGAUCCUCAUUAAUCAAGUUCUCGAAUAUAGUUGCGAACUAGUUAUUUGCUCUGGAUGCGAGGGACCGAUAUGGGGUCCUGGCUACAGUUGCACCUCUUGCUACUUCUUUCUUCAUAAGAAAUGCGCCGAGCUGCCCCGUGAGAUCAUGCGGUGCAUUCAUCCUAGACACCCUCUCCAUCUACUGCCAAAGUCACCAUAUAAAGGAGAAUACGGUUGUGAUCGCUGCCAAAAAACUUGCAAGAGUUUUGUUUACCAUUGUUCUGUCUGUGAAUUUGAUCUUGAUAUCAAAUGUGCUUUUCAACCGGGUUUUUUUGAAGUUGAUAGUCAGGCACAUCAAUUUGCCCACAAGGAUCAUCCAUUGAUUUUGAAUGAAGAGCAAGAAUAUCAUGGUGAAGGAGUACAGUGUUGUGUGUGCAAGGAACCAAUGUCUGGUCCUAGCUAUAGUUGCACUUCUUGCAACUUCUUUCUUCACAAGAAGUGUGCUGAGCUACCCCCAGAGAUCAAGCAGCAUUUGCAUCCAGAACACCCUCUUCGUCUACUGCCAAAUCAUGAUAUGAUCUGUGAUUUUUGCAACGAAACUUGCUAUGAGAGUUUUCUUUACUUUUGUAUUGUGUGUGAAUACAACCUCCAUAUCAAAUGUGCUUUUCCACCGUGCAUUGAUGCAGCUGAUCAGAAUCAAAGGCAUCAAUUUAGACGCCUAAUGAAUCCACUUUCAUUAAAAUCAAUCUCCUUCACUUGCAAUGCAUGUGGCACAGAUGGAGAUGACUCCCCAUUUUGGUGCACUAUGUGCCAACUCGUGGUCCACAAAAAAUGCAUUUCAUUGCCACGCACCCUUAAAACGGAACUGCACCAGCAUCCCCGAAUCAUCCACACCUAUCAUCCUCAAAAACGCAUCGAAUCUAUAAACAAGUACUGUGGAAUUUGCUGUCGGGAAGUUGACACAGAAUACGGAGUUUACUAUUGCCCGGACUGUGACUUUGUUGCACACGUGGAUUGUAGUGGAGAAUAUGGGGAUUCUGCAACAGAGAUUGUAGUAGAAAACGAAGAAGAGCAAAGUGUGACUGUUGAUGAUCAAUUCAAUGAACCUAGCUUUCGCGUUGUCCGUGAGAUCAAGCAUGGAGAGGAGAGAAUAAUUGAAGAGAUCGAACAUUUCAGUCAUCAACAUAACCUAAUCCUUACUGACAAGGUUGAUGAUGAUCUAAAGUGUGAUGGGUGCAUGUUACCAAUCUCCACUCCAUUUUAUAGCUGUGCCAGUUGUAAUUUCUUUCUUGACAAAACCUGCAUAGAAUUACCCAGGCGAAAAAAGUGGCAAUAUCACGAAAACCAACUGAUUCUUUCAUGGAGCCGAGGGCCACAUGAUCUGUUCUACUGUAAUGUGUGUAGGCAAUAUUUUCGUGGGCUCAGGUACAAAUGUGAUGUAUGUGCACUCUGGAUUGAUGUCCGAUGCUUCAAAUCAUUGGAAGAUUCCACUAAACAUGGAGGUCAUGAGCAUCCCCUUUAUCUUCCAGCGGACAGAAAGAAUAUACUCCGUUGUAAUAUUGGAGGUCGCGGGCUUCGCCCUUGGGUUGCAGCGGACGGAGAGAAUAUUCCCCAUUGCAGUGGCUGUUGUGUCAGUGAAGAAUCAAAGGUAUUUUUAAAAUGUGUGGUUUGCGAUUUCAAGCUCGGUAUGAAAUGUGCUACACUGCCAUAUAGAGCAAGACACGAGUAUGAUGACCAUCCUCUCUUCCUCACCUAUAUUAAUGCAAAUGACUACCAACCUUCCUGUAUAAUUUGUGAAGAAGAUAGAGACCCAAAGCUCUGGUUCUACCGUUGUGAGGAAUGCGACUUCGAUGCUCAUCCAGAAUGUGCUCUCGGGAAAUACCCAUAUGUCAAGCUUGGGG